AGCGAACGCUGGCGGCAGGCUUAACACAUGCAAGUCGAGCGGGCCUUUCGGGGUCAGCGGCGGACGGGUGAGUAACGCGUGGGAACGUGCCCUCUGGUUCGGAAUAACUCAGGGAAACUUGAGCUAAUACCGGAUACGCCCUUUUGGGGAAAGGCUUGCUGCCGGAGGAUCGGCCCGCGUCUGAUUAGCUAGUUGGUGAGGUAACGGUUCACCAAGGCGACGAUCAGUAGCUGGUCUGAGAGGAUGAUCAGCCACACUGGGACUGAGACACGGCCCAGACUCCUACGGGAGGCAGCAGUGGGGAAUAUUGGACAAUGGGCGCAAGCCUGAUCCAGCCAUGCCGCGUGAGUGAUGAAGGCCUUAGGGUUGUAAAGCUCUUUUAUCCGGGACGAUAAUGACGGUACCGGAGGAAUAAGCCCCGGCUAACUUCGUG
This 433-nucleotide ribosomal RNA is filed under the name uncultured bacterium. RNAcentral describes it as "partial 16S ribosomal RNA". It matches the Rfam family "Bacterial small subunit ribosomal RNA", at positions 29 to 507 of the family's 1533-position model. The record is from RNAcentral.